CCUACGGGAGGCAGCAGUAGGGAAUCUUCCACAAUGGGCGCAAGCCUGAUGGAGCAACGCCGCGUGAGUGAAGACGGCCUUCGGGUUGUAAAGCUCUGUCUGUCGGGACGAAGACCGGCCCGGAAGGGCCGGGGAGCCGGUACCGACGGAGGAAGCCCCUGCAAACUACGUGCCAGCAGCCGCGGUAAGACGUAGGGGGCAAGCGUUGUCCGGAAUUACUGGGCGUAAAGGGCGUGUAGGCGGUGCGAUACGUAGCGGUUUUAAGCCUCCGGCUCACCCGGAGGAGGGCGGCUAAACGGUCGCGCUAGAGGGCAGGAGAGGUGCGUGGAAUUCCUGGUGGAGCGGUGAAAUGCGUAGAGAUCAGGAAGAACACCAGUGGCGAAGGCGGCGCAAUGGCCUGACCCUGACGCUGAGGCGCGACAGCGUGGGGAGCAAACGGGAUUAGAUACCCCGGUAGUCCACGCCGUAAACGACGGAUACUAGGUGUCGUGGGGGUCCACCCUGCGGUGCCGGAGCUAACGCACUAAGUAUCCCGCCUGGGGAGUACGGCCGCAAGGUUGAAACUCAAAGGAAUUGACGGGG
RNAcentral lists this ribosomal RNA (582 nucleotides) under uncultured bacterium. RNAcentral's name for it is "bacterial SSU rRNA". It matches the Rfam family "Bacterial small subunit ribosomal RNA", at positions 338 to 918 of the family's 1533-position model. The record is from RNAcentral.